RNAcentral lists this long non-coding RNA (711 nucleotides) under Chlamydomonas reinhardtii. RNAcentral's name for it is "long non-coding RNA (CREI_LNC000330)". Lineage: Eukaryota; Viridiplantae; Chlorophyta; Chlorophyceae; Chlamydomonadales; Chlamydomonadaceae. The record is from RNAcentral.
UCCACCAGCAGGUCGGGGCCGUCGCAGCCAGCCCAGGUCAGGGCCUGCUCGGUGCACCACCAGUACUCCUCCAGGGUCUCGCCCUUCCAGGCGAACACGGCGGCGGAGUCGCGGGCGAUGGCGGCAGCGGCGUGGUCCUGGGUGGAGAAGAUGUUGCACGAGCACCAGCGGACCUCAGCGCCCAGGGCGGUCAGGGUCUCAAUCAGCACGGCGGUCUGGAUGGUCAUGUGCAGAGAGCCGGUAAUCUUGGCACCCUUGAAGGGCUGGGCGGGGCCGAACUCGGAGCGGCACGCCAUCAGACCGGGCAUCUCAGCCUCGGCCAGGUCGAUCUCCAGGCGACCGAAGUCAGCCUCGGCGAUGUCCUUCACCUUGUACUGUGGGUGGGAAAGAAUAAUAGCGGGCACGCGAGGUAAAUUGGCAGCUUCCAGCAAGCAGAUCAGUUGCCGGCGGAGAAGCGCGCGCGAAGUGACCCCAGCGUAGACCACCAAUUCAGAGUAAGCGAAGCAGUGCCGCUUGUGCAAUUGAGCACUUGCAACCCAGAAAUGCCCCGGUUGCCGGUGGGAGCGAAUAUGAUCGAGUGCUCAACAAACACAAGCCCGGACAACGGGCACUCGAGCGCACAGCGCUCCAAGUAGCUACUUCUUAUGCGCCUAUAUGCAUCUAGCUUGGGAAAGGCUAUGCGGCGGCCGGUGCCGAGGAUCUUUGCGCACC